GGUUCGGUGGCAGAGUGGUAAUGCAUCUGCUUCUUAUUUGCAUAUACCGACAAUCUGUUGGGGAGGUCGCCUGUUGGAAUCGGGCCCGAGCCA
Non-coding RNA from Mycena leptocephala, 93 nucleotides. The record is from the annotation of a GenBank genome assembly. NCBI's taxonomy places the organism in Eukaryota, Fungi, Basidiomycota, Agaricomycetes, Agaricales, Mycenaceae.